AUUGAACGCUGGCGGCAUGCUUUACACAUGCAAGUCGAACGGUAACAGGCCGCAAGGUGCUGACGAGUGGCGAACGGGGGGGUAAUGCAUCGGAACGUGCCCAGUCGUGGGGGAUAACUACUCGAAAGAGUAGCUAAUACCGCAUACGAUCUAUGGAUGAAAGCGGGGGACCGCAAGGCCUCGCGCGAUUGGAGCGGCCGAUGUCAGAUUAGGUAGUUGGUGGGGUAAAGGCUCACCAAGCCAACGAUCUGUAGCUGGUCUGAGAGGACGACCAGCCACACUGGGACUGAGACACGGCCCAGACUCCUACGGGAGGCAGCAGUGGGGAAUUUUGGACAAUGGGCGCAAGCCUGAUCCAGCAAUGCCGCGUGCAGGAAGAAGGCCUUCGGGUUGUAAACUGCUUUUGUACGGAACGAAACGGCUCUGGUUAAUACCCGGGGCUAAUGACGGUACCGUAAGAAUAAGCACCGGCUAACUACGUG
Molecule: ribosomal RNA, 482 nt
Filed under: uncultured bacterium
Lineage: Bacteria
Description: partial 16S ribosomal RNA
Rfam family: Bacterial small subunit ribosomal RNA
Source: RNAcentral